CCUACGGGUGGCUGCAGUGGGGAAUAUUGGACAAUGGGCGCAAGCCUGAUCCAGCCAUGCCGCGUGUGUGAAGAAGGCCUUCGGGUUGUAAAGCACUUUCAGUGGGGAAGAAAGCCUUGGGGCUAAUACCCUCGAGGAAGGACAUCACCCACAGAAGAAGCACCGGCUAACUCCGUGCCAGCAGCCGCGGUAAUACGGAGGGUGCGAGCGUUAAUCGGAAUUACUGGGCGUAAAGCGCGCGUAGGCGGUCUGAUAAGCCGGUUGUGAAAGCCCCGGGCUCAACCUGGGAACGGCAUCCGGAACUGUCAGGCUAGAGUGCAGGAGAGGAAGGUAGAAUUCCCGGUGUAGCAGUGAAAUGCGUAGAGAUCGGGAGGAAUACCAGUGGCGAAGGCGGCCUUCUGGACUGACACUGACGCUGAGGUGCGAAAGCGUGGGUAGCAAACAGGAUUAGAUACCCCAGUAGUC
Molecule: ribosomal RNA, 465 nt
Filed under: Vreelandella stevensii
Lineage: Bacteria; Pseudomonadati; Pseudomonadota; Gammaproteobacteria; Oceanospirillales; Halomonadaceae
Description: partial 16S ribosomal RNA
Rfam family: Bacterial small subunit ribosomal RNA
Source: RNAcentral